Molecule: small RNA, 127 nt
Filed under: Marmota monax (woodchuck)
Lineage: Eukaryota; Metazoa; Chordata; Mammalia; Rodentia; Sciuridae
Source: RNAcentral
GCCUGGUGUGGUGGUGCACACCUGUAAUCCAAGUGCCUCCAGAGGCUGAGACAGGAGGAUCGUAAGUUCAAGGCCAGCCUCAGCCACCUAGCAAGGCCCUAAGCAACUUAGGGAGACCCUGUCUCAA